GGUUAAGCGACUAAGCGUACACGGUGGAUGCCCUGGCAGUCAGAGGCGAUGAAGGACGUGCUAAUCUGCGAUAAGCGUCGGUAAGGUGAUAUGAACCGUUAUAACCGGCGAUUUCCGAAUGGGGAAACCCAGUGUGUUUCGACACACUAUCAUUAACUGAAUCCAUAGGUUAAUGAGGCGAACCGGGGGAACUGAAACAUCUAAGUACCCCGAGGAAAAGAAAUCAACCGAGAUUCCCCCAGUAGCGGCGAGCGAACGGGGAGCAGCCCAGAGCCUGAAUCAGUAUGUGUGUUAGUGGAAGCGUCUGGAAAGGCGCGCGAUACAGGGUGACAGCCCCGUACACAAAAAUGCACAUGCUGUGAGCUCGAUGAGUAGGGCGGGACACGUGGUAUCCUGUCUGAAUAUGGGGGGACCAUCCUCCAAGGCUAAAUACUCCUGACUGACCGAUAGUGAACCAGUACCGUGAGGGAAAGGCGAAAAGAACCCCGGCGAGGGGAGUGAAAAAGAACCUGAAACCGUGUACGUACAAGCAGUGGGAGCACGCUUAGGCGUGUGACUGCGUACCUUUUGUAUAAUGGGUCAGCGACUUAUAUUCUGUAGCAAGGUUAACCGAAUAGGGGAGCCGAAGGGAAACCGAGUCUUAACUGGGCGUUAAGUUGCAGGGUAUAGACCCGAAACCCGGUGAUCUAGCCAUGGGCAGGUUGAAAGUUGGGUAACACUAACUGGAGGACCGAACCGACUAAUGUUGAAAAAUUAGCGGAUGACUUGUGGCUGGGGGUGAAAGGCCAAUCAAACCGGGAGAUAGCUGGUUCUCCCCGAAAGCUAUUUAGGUAGCGCCUCGUGAAUUCAUCUCCGGGGGUAGAGCACUGUUUCGGCAAGGGGGUCAUCCCGACUUACCAACCCGAUGCAAACUGCGAAUACCGGAGAAUGUUAUCACGGGAGACACACGGCGGGUGCUAACGUCCGUCGUGAAGAGGGAAACAACCCAGACCGCCAGCUAAGGUCCCAAAGUCAUGGUUAAGUGGGAAACGAUGUGGGAAGGCCCAGACAGCCAGGAUGUUGGCUUAGAAGCAGCCAUCAUUUAAAGAAAGCGUAAUAGCUCACUGGUCGAGUCGGCCUGCGCGGAAGAUGUAACGGGGCUAAACCAUGCACCGAAGCUGCGGCAGCGACGCUGAUGCGUUGUUGGGUAGGGGAGCGUUCUGUAAGCCUGCGAAGGUGUGCUGUGAGGCAUGCUGGAGGUAUCAGAAGUGCGAAUGCUGACAUAAGUAACGAUAAAGCGGGUGAAAAGCCCGCUCGCCGGAAGACUAAGGGUUCCUGUCCAACGUUAAUCGGGGCAGGGUGAGUCGACCCCUAAGGCGAGGCCGAAAGGCGUAGUCGAUGGGAAACAGGUUAAUAUUCCUGUACUUGGUGUUACUGCGAAGGGGGGACGGAGAAGGCUAUGUUGGCCGGGCGACGGUUGUCCCGGUUUAAGCGUGUAGGCUGGUUUUCCAGGCAAAUCCGGAAAAUCAAGGCUGAGGCGUGAUGACGAGGCACUACGGUGCUGAAGCAACAAAUGCCCUGCUUCCAGGAAAAGCCUCUAAGCAUCAGGUAACAUCAAAUCGUACCCCAAACCGACACAGGUGGUCAGGUAGAGAAUACCAAGGCGCUUGAGAGAACUCGGGUGAAGGAACUAGGCAAAAUGGUGCCGUAACUUCGGGAGAAGGCACGCUGAUAUGUAGGUGAAGUCCCUCGCGGAUGGAGCUGAAAUCAGUCGAAGAUACCAGCUGGCUGCAACUGUUUAUUAAAAACACAGCACUGUGCAAACACGAAAGUGGACGUAUACGGUGUGACGCCUGCCCGGUGCCGGAAGGUUAAUUGAUGGGGUCAGCGCAAGCGAAGCUCUUGAUCUAAGCCCCGGUAAACGGCGGCCGUAACUAUAACGGUCCUAAGGUAGCGAAAUUCCUUGUCGGGUAAGUUCCGACCUGCACGAAUGGCGUAAUGAUGGCCAGGCUGUCUCCACCCGAGACUCAGUGAAAUUGAACUCGCUGUGAAGAUGCAGUGUACCCGCGGCAAGACGGAAAGACCCCGUGAACCUUUACUAUAGCUUGACACUGAACAUUGAGCCUUGAUGUGUAGGAUAGGUGGGAGGCUUUGAAGUGUGGACGCCAGUCUGCAUGGAGCCGACCUUGAAAUACCACCCUUUAAUGUUUGAUGUUCUAACGUUGACCCGUGAUCCGGGUUGCGGACAGUGUCUGGUGGGUAGUUUGACUGGGGCGGUCUCCUCCUAAAGAGUAACGGAGGAGCACGAAGGUUGGCUAAUCCUGGUCGGACAUCAGGAGGUUAGUGCAAUGGCAUAAGCCAGCUUGACUGCGAGCGUGACGGCGCGAGCAGGUGCGAAAGCAGGUCAUAGUGAUCCGGUGGUUCUGAAUGGAAGGGCCAUCGCUCAACGGAUAAAAGGUACUCCGGGGAUAACAGGCUGAUACCGCCCAAGAGUUCAUAUCGACGGCGGUGUUUGGCACCUCGAUGUCGGCUCAUCACAUCCUGGGGCUGAAGUAGGUCCCAAGGGUAUGGCUGUUCGCCAUUUAAAGUGGUACGCGAGCUGGGUUUAGAACGUCGUGAGACAGUUCGGUCCCUAUCUGCCGUGGGCGCUGGAGAACUGAGGGGGGCUGCUCCUAGUACGAGAGGACCGGAGUGGACGCAUCACUGGUGUUCGGGUUGUCAUGCCAAUGGCACUGCCCGGUAGCUAAAUGCGGAAGAGAUAAGUGCUGAAAGCAUCUAAGCACGAAACUUGCCCCGAGAUGAGUUCUCCCUGACUCCUUGAGAGUCCUGAAGGAACGUUGAAGACGACGACGUUGAUAGGCCGGGUGUGUAAGCGCAGCGAUGCGUUGAGCUAACCGGUACUAAUGAACCGUGAGGCUUAACCUUACAACGCCGAAGCUGUUUUG
RNAcentral lists this ribosomal RNA (2924 nucleotides) under Escherichia coli B7A. Its description in RNAcentral is "bacterial LSU rRNA". It matches the Rfam family "Bacterial large subunit ribosomal RNA". The record is from RNAcentral. Lineage: Bacteria; Pseudomonadati; Pseudomonadota; Gammaproteobacteria; Enterobacterales; Enterobacteriaceae.